This 2940-nucleotide ribosomal RNA is filed under the name Triticum aestivum (bread wheat). RNAcentral describes it as "partial small subunit ribosomal RNA". The record is from RNAcentral. Lineage: Eukaryota; Viridiplantae; Streptophyta; Magnoliopsida; Poales; Poaceae.
AUGGGAGGUCAUACCAUGCUCAGAUUGCUCACGGGGUUGGCCCUAUGGUGCCUCGUGAUCAACUUCACCAGGGGCAAAGCUGCGUGCAUCGGCGUGGAGAGGGAUGCACUGGCUGCCUUCAACGCCAGCAUCACUGAUGCUGGUGGGAGGUUACGCUCAUGGCAAGGAGAAAACUGCUGCAACUGGGGCGGUGUGAGCUGCAGCAAGAAGACCGGCCAUGUCGUCAAGCUGGACCUUGGUGGUUACUCCCUCAAAGGCGAGAUCAGUCCAUCUUUGGCUGCUUUGACCAGAUUGGUGCACCUCAACCUGAGCCAUGGUGACUUUGGUGCGGUGCCCAUCCCGGAAUUCAUAGGCUCCUUCAAGAUGUUGAGGUAUCUUGAUCUGUCGCAUGCCGGUUUUGGUGGAAUAGCUCCUCCUCAACUCGGUAAUUUGUCGAGACUCGUCUAUCUUGAUCUGGGUUCGUUUGGAGGUCCUGGGAUCACUGUCAAUAACUUCCGUUGGGUUUCCAAGCUGACAUCCCUGAGGUAUCUCGACCUCAGUUGGUUGUAUCUUGCCGCUUCUGUGGAUUGGCUGCAGGCAGUGAACAUGCUACCAUCACUCCAAGUGCUUCGCCUGAAUGAUGCUAGUCUUCCUGCCACCGACCUCACUUCUCUUUCUCAAGUCAACUUCACUUCCCUUACGCUGCUUAAUCUGAAGAAUAACGAUCUGAAUUCCUCCAUGCCGAAUUGGAUUGACAAGCUAUCUGCCCUCUCAGAGUUGGACAUGACUAGUUGUGGGCUUUCGGGCAUGAUUCCUGAUGACCUUGGCAAACUGACUUCACUUAUGUUCAUAGGGCUUGGGGACAACAAGUUGACUGGAGCAAUACCAACAUCAGCUAGUAGGUUGUGCAACUUGGUUCAAAUCAGUUUGUCCGGGAACAUCUUGUCAGGAGAUAUUGCAGAAGCAGCCAAGAGCCUAUUUCCUUGUAUGAAGCAGUUGCAGAUCCUUGAACUUGCUGGUAAUAACUUAACCAGAAACCUAUCUGGUUGGCUUGAGGUCAUGUCAGGCUUAAGAAUCCUUGAUCUCAGUGCGAACUCACUGUCUGGAGUUGUGCCACAUGGUAUUGGUAACCUAUCAAGCCUGACAUACUUGGAUAUAUCCUUCAACAGAUUUAAAGGCACACUAUCGGAACUCCACUUUGCCAAUUUGUUAAGAUUGGAUACUUUAGAUCUAGCAUCAAAUUCAUUCGAGAUUGUAGUCAAACAAAGCUGGAUGCCACCUUUUCAGCUCAUAAAUCUCGGACUGCAUGACUGCCUUGUAGGACCAGAGUUUCCAACUUGGCUGCAAUCACAAACUAUAAUCGAGAUGACCGAUCUAGGCAGUGCAGGCAUCAGGGGUCCAUUACCUGACUGGAUCUGGAACUUCUCUUUGUCAAUGACUAGCUUAAAUGUCUCAACAAACAACAUAACUGGUAUGUUGCCUGCAAGCUUGGAGCAAUUGACAAUGCUAACAACUCUAAGCAUGAGAAAUAAUAAGCUUCAAGGUAACAUUCCAGAUUUGCCGCUUAGCAUCCGAGUGUUGGACCUAUCCUGCAACAACUUAUCAGGACCAUUGCCACAUAGCUUUCGAGACAAAGAAUUGCAUUACCUAUCACUGUCAAAAAAUUACAUUAGUGGAGUAAUCCCAACAGAUUUUUGCAACAUGAUAUCAUUGGAACUGAUUGACCUAUCUGAUAACAACCUUUCAGGACAGCUUCCCAAUUGUUGGCAAAAGAAAUCGGAGCUGUAUGCCGUAGACUUUUCAAGCAAUAACUUGUGGGGAGAAAUACCAUCUACCAUGGGUUCUCUAAAUUCCCUCAUGUCACUGCAUCUUAGCAAGAACAGGUUGUCAGGAGUAUUGCCCACCUCAUUGCAGUCAUGUCAAAUGUUGAUGUUCCUUGAUCUUGCAGAAAAUAAUUUGUCAGGAAACAUACCAAAAUGGAUAGGUGACAGCCUAAAAUCUCUGAUACUUGUGAGGUUGGGGUCCAAUCAGUUUUCUGGUGGAAUACCUGAAGAACUGUCCCAACUUCCUGCUCUGCAUUAUUUGGAUCUUUCGAACAACAAACUAUCUGGCCCUGUACCACAUUUUUGGGGAAAUUUAACAGCCUUGCACCUGGUCAAUCAAGACCAAGACAGAAGAACAUCGCCUUUCCUUCAGUACAAGGUUUAUGGUCUUGGGGGUGCUUACUUUUUCGUAUACACAGAUACCUUGGAGGUAAUGACGAAAGGUCAUAAUUUUCUUUAUGAGGAAGAAAUGUACGUGAUGAAGGGCAUUGACCUCUCAGCAAACCUAUUAAGUGGUGAGAUUCCAAACGAAAUAGGAUUUUUAUCUUCACUGAUUAACUUGAAUCUGUCAAGGAACCACAUUGGAGGAAGUAUCCCUGCUGAACUUGGGAAUUUGGUGGAUUUAGAGUCACUCGAUCUCUCAUGGAAUGAUCUAUCAGGUCCAAUUCCCGACAGCUUUGCGUCGCUAACUUCUUUGGGCUUCCUGAAUUUGUCCUACAAUGAUCUCUCAGGAAAGAUACCGUCAAGAAAUCAGCUCGCAACUUUUGAUAAUUACUCUUUCUGGGGAAAUGAAAAUCUCUGCGGGCCUCCACUUGACAGAAUCUGUGUACCCGAGAGUAACAAACACUGGCACCACAAACAUCAUCUCAGAUUCGACACGCUGACAUGUCUAUUUACACUGCUCGGGUUUGCAUUCGGAAUCUCCACUGUGUUCACCACCUUCAUAUGCAGCGUGGUCACGAGGAAGGCUUACUUUCGGUUCACCAACAGGGUGCUCGGCAAGCUGCGGACUGCAGUGGAGAUGAAGCUUAGCAUCAACAGGAUGAUGCCAGCAGGAGGAGACCCCUCCAUGGCAACACGGAGUCAGGACUCCAUCACUUGCUACGAGCUGGAACAAUCUUCCACUGCUAUUAUGUAA